CUCCAGACUCCUACGGGAGGCAGCAGUGGGGAAUAUUGCACAAUGGGGGAAACCCUGAUGCAGCGACGCCGCGUGAGUGAAGAAGUAUUUCGGUAUGUAAAGCUCUAUCAGCAGGGAAGAAAAUGACGGUACCUGACUAAGAAGCCCCGGCUAACUACGUGCCAGCAGCCGCGGUAAUACGUAGGGGGCAAGCGUUAUCCGGAUUUACUGGGUGUAAAGGGAGCGUAGACGGCAUGGCAAGUCAGAUGUGAAAUCCGGGGGCUCAACCCCCGAACUGCAUUUGAAACUGUUGGUCUUGAGUAUCGGAGAGGCAGGCGGAAUUCCUAGUGUAGCGGUGAAAUGCGUAGAUAUUAGGAGGAACACCAGUGGCGAAGGCGUCUUACUGGACCGAAACUGACGUUGAGGCUCGAAAGCGUGGGGAGCAAACAGGAUUAGAUACCCUUGUA
Molecule: ribosomal RNA, 446 nt
Filed under: uncultured bacterium
Lineage: Bacteria
Description: bacterial SSU rRNA
Rfam family: Bacterial small subunit ribosomal RNA
Source: RNAcentral